CUUGAAGUAAGUUCCUUUUUUGAAAUCCUUGGGGAGCUGGUCUAACUUCAUCUUAAAGACUCGACACUCAAUGUCUGGUUUAUCAUUGGGAGAGUCUCCACCAUACUUCAUAAGAUGCUCUUUAAUCUCUCUCCAGUUGGGAUUGGCCGUCAUUGUGAUAAACAAAUCUGGAUUCCCAUAUUCUCUGCAAAUAGCCAUCGCAUCAUGAUAUUUUUCAACUAAGUAUCAGGGCCCACAGGU
Molecule: long non-coding RNA, 240 nt
Filed under: Brassica napus (rape)
Lineage: Eukaryota; Viridiplantae; Streptophyta; Magnoliopsida; Brassicales; Brassicaceae
Description: long non-coding RNA (BNAP_LNC016464)
Source: RNAcentral